RNAcentral lists this long non-coding RNA (424 nucleotides) under Ursus maritimus (polar bear). Its description in RNAcentral is "lncRNA (ENSUMAG00000023304.1)". The record is from RNAcentral. Lineage: Eukaryota; Metazoa; Chordata; Mammalia; Carnivora; Ursidae.
GACCCCUUAGGGUGCACCUACAUCACUUUGAAACCAUCGGGCCAAAGAAUACGCUAUUGGACCACUGUUGGCAAGUUCAGUCCUAGCUCAGUUCCUGAGCAUAGAUCUAAUUUCCUGUGUGGCCUCAAUACCUCCAAGACCUAGGAUGCUCCUUGAGAGGCAUGGUACUAUUUUGAGGUUUGUUCCAGGGUCAAGCAGAGUUUCAGCAUUCCAAGAAGAGAGAUGGAGCCCUCCUUGUUGUAGAACACUUUGUCUUCAUGUCACAAGUGUUCAUGCAUAUAUUCAACGGACUGCUGUUUCCUGACAAGACGGUGUUUCAAGACUACCUUUUCUAUUUACAUUUCACAUGAAGAAAAGAGUACUGUUCCUUGAGAAAGCUGUUUCUUCAUUAGGGCAGGUUCCAUAUCCAAUCAUUUUGUAAACU